This is a long non-coding RNA of Pleuronectes platessa (European plaice), 2011 nucleotides long. RefSeq lists it as uncharacterized. The transcript is spliced from 4 exons. The record is from RefSeq and is a predicted model, not a curated record. NCBI's taxonomy places the organism in Eukaryota, Metazoa, Chordata, Actinopteri, Pleuronectiformes, Pleuronectidae.
UUGGCCUGGGGCUGGCUAGGCUACAUUUUUGAGACAUGUCCAAAACAAAGUAGAAAACGUUUUUGAUUUUGUUUUAAUAUGCCGAAUUGUGCUAUUAUGGGUUAUUAUUGUUCAGAUCAUUUAGCUAAGCUAGCUAAGAGCUGCUAACGUCGUUUACUGUUGCCAUAGCUGAGCUGUAAAUAGAGAUGCAGAAUCAAGCUGUAUUGAAAACAGAAUACAAGUAAACCUAUAGUGAAUAAUUAGUUUAAUUUGAAAUAUUUGCCAUUGAAUUUAUUGUAAUCUUUUAAUUCAUUUAUUGUUUACUGAGGUGAUAACUAUUUAAUAGGUAUAAUUUGUGUGUAAAUGUUCCACUGAUAAGGUGAGAAAUAUUUAUUAUUAUUGUUAUUAUCACACAAGUUUUAUUGUGCUUAUGUGUUGAUCCUUAAUGGUGUGAUCAUGUACACUAAAUGAUCAAUUAUUCUCCGUUACAGGUUGUUGUGAUAUAUUUGAGGAGUCGUUCUCCCUCUGUUUUAUAUGUGGACAUUUGGGACCACUGUUAGAAUUUGGUUGACCACUUGACAUGUGAGCGCCUGAGGAGUUGUUCCCCCUCUGUCCAUGUUCGAGGACUUGCUCUCUGUCUGUCUCCACUCUCUGCCUUCACUGUACCAACGUUUGUCUGUUGAGUCUCCUCUAGUCUGGUUGACCACUUGACAUGUGAGAGCCUGAGGAGUUGUUUUCCAGACACAGGUAGAGCUGGCAGGGGCGUCACCCUGGGCCUGCCCUUUUGGGCUGGGCUUCAGCUGCAGAUCUAAAGGCUGCUUCCAGGGGCAUGGGGCCCUCAGCCUUUGUUUUUCUUUGCUUCUGCACUUUACAACAUACAUCACACCUUAUUUUCACACAUCCGAACACUGUUAACACCACUGAUGCGUAACAUAUUUUACACAUCCCACUACGUAGUUAGAGCUAUCUUGAUUUGGAGUUAAAUAAAUUUACUUUUGGCUUGAGAGGUUUGUGUGUGGCCUCCCUUCUUGCUGCAAAAUAUGGGCUAGGUGGUAACAGUAGUAUGCAUGAGAGAAGACGCCGCGAGAUUUGUGGACUUCUAUGUGGUGUCCGUUGAUAAUGUAGUGGGCUGGUCUACACAAAAGCACAAUGUUAAAGAAAGAGUUAAAAAAUGACUGGAUCGGCUUAAUACCAAAAUACAGUGGGCCCUUUCCUGACACUUACUACAUCUGUCUGCCAAGUUGAUUGGAAAUCCAAUUGUUGUUGUUAUUAUAACAGUUUUAUUUAUUUAAACAAGUAUUAUGUCGUCUUGAUCAGGUUCCUGGAAAUGGAUCAUUGCUUCAUGUGGGGUUCUACUACUGAUCGUCAUUCCUUUGACUGUUUGGCUCGUUUAUCACUACAGGUACCAGAAGUUCUGCACUUGGAGCUGCUGGCCAGUUUCCAAACAGGAAGUUCCAGCAGGGGUGCUCCCUGCCACCAAGUUGGAUGUGACGGAGGUGCAGUGGGACCUGUCCUGGAUGGAGAUGUCCAAACUGUUGGAAAAGGAUUCUUAUUGUGGCACUUAAAGGGAAACUCUCUUCUGAAGCCCAGAGACUUAACUAUUGGGUCAAACCUAUGAGAAAGCUCAGUCAGUGCUGCAAUUUGUAGUAUUUGAUGGUCACAUGUCAAAAUAGUGCUGCCUGAUAUAUUUUUGAAUUGAAUUAAAUGAGAUGUUUAGGAUUUAUAAGGAUGACUACAUUUGCUGAUGGUGCAGAUUUGAUAGCUUCCAAUACAAAUGUUAUUGUUUCAGUUGUCACAUUUGUCAAUGUCAAUACUCUUGCACAUUUAAACGUCUCUCCUUUGAGUACAUUUUGAAACUAAGAAUCGUAUUUGUUAUAUCUUAUUAUCUAAUCAUUAAUAUAAUUGACUGUUCUAAAUCAUUUUACAUGUAUCAUUUCUCCUGUGUUUGUUCGAGGUUCCAUGUUGUUUGCUCCCUUUGAAUCGUUAUUUGCUAUUUCUUGUCGUCUGAAGUUAUAAAAGUCAUGGAAAUCGU